UGUGGUUUCCUUCAUUGAGGU
RNAcentral lists this unclassified non-coding RNA (21 nucleotides) under Mus musculus (house mouse). RNAcentral's name for it is "oocyte_clustered_small_RNA8956". The record is from RNAcentral. Lineage: Eukaryota; Metazoa; Chordata; Mammalia; Rodentia; Muridae.